UUGCACCACGUAGAAUGCUCCCGAUCCCGUUCGAUCUCGGAAGAUAAGCUACGUCGUGUCCCGUCAGUACUUAGAUGGGUGACCGCUUCUUAGAUCAGUACUUAGAUGGGUGUUGCAGGUU
This 121-nucleotide ribosomal RNA is filed under the name Ramazzottius varieornatus. The record is from RNAcentral. Lineage: Eukaryota; Metazoa; Tardigrada; Eutardigrada; Parachela; Ramazzottiidae.